AGCGAACGCUGGCGGCAGGCUUAACACAUGCAAGUCGAGCGGGCACUUCGGUGUCAGCGGCAGACGGGUGAGUAACACGUGGGAACGUACCCUUUGGUUCGGAAUAACGCUGGGAAACUAGCGCUAAUACCGGAUACGCCCUUUUGUGGAAAGGCUUGCUGCCGAAGGAUCGGCCCGCGUCCGAUUAGCUAGUUGGUGGGGUAAUGGCCUACCAAGGCGACGAUCAGUAGCUGGUCUGAGAGGAUGAUCAGCCACACUGGGACUGAGACACGGCCCAGACUCCUACGGGAGGCAGCAGUGGGGAAUAUUGGACAAUGGGCGCAAGCCUGAUCCAGCCAUGCCGCGUGAGUGAUGAAGGCCUUAGGGUUGUAAAGCUCUUUUGUCCGGGACGAUAAUGACGGUACCGGAAGAAUAAGCCCCGGCUAACUUCGUG
Molecule: ribosomal RNA, 433 nt
Filed under: uncultured bacterium
Lineage: Bacteria
Description: partial 16S ribosomal RNA
Rfam family: Bacterial small subunit ribosomal RNA
Source: RNAcentral